RNAcentral lists this ribosomal RNA (301 nucleotides) under uncultured bacterium. Its description in RNAcentral is "partial 16S ribosomal RNA". It matches the Rfam family "Bacterial small subunit ribosomal RNA", at positions 509 to 809 of the family's 1533-position model. The record is from RNAcentral.
CAGUAGCCGCGGGAAUACAGAGGGUGCAAGCGUUAAUCGGAAUUACUGGGCGUAAAGCGCGCGUAGGUGGUUUGUUAAGUUGGAUGUGAAAGCCCCGGGCUCAACCUGGGAACUGCAUCCAAAACUGGCAAGCUAGAGUACGGUAGAGGGUGGUGGAAUUUCCUGUGUAGCGGUGAAAUGCGUAGAUAUAGGAAGGAACACCAGUGGCGAAGGCGACCACCUGGACUGAUACUGACACUGAGGUGCGAAAGCGUGGGGAGCAAACAGGAUUAGAUACCCCAGUAGUCCCUGUCUCUUAUAA